This 426-nucleotide ribosomal RNA is filed under the name uncultured bacterium. RNAcentral's name for it is "partial 16S ribosomal RNA". It matches the Rfam family "Bacterial small subunit ribosomal RNA", at positions 354 to 796 of the family's 1533-position model. The record is from RNAcentral.
GUGAGGAAUUUUCCGCAAUGGGCGAAAGCCUGACGGAGCAAUGCCGCGUGAAGGAUGAAGGCCUAUGGGUUGUAAACUUCUUUUCUCAGAAAAGAAUUAUGACGGUAUCUGAGGAAUAAGCAUCGGCUAACUCUGUGCCAGCAGCCGCGGUAAGACAGAGGAUGCAAGCGUUAUCCGGAAUGAUUGGGCGUAAAGCGUCUGUAGGUUGUUUAAAAAGUAUUCUGUCAAAGAUUAGGGCUUAACCCUAGAUAGGCAGAAUAAACUUUUAAGCUAGAGUUUGGUAGAGGCAGAGGGAAUUCCCGGUGGAGCGGUGAAAUGCGUAGAUAUCGGGAGGAACACCAAAGGCGAAGGCACUCUGCUGGGCCAAUACUAACACUGAGAGACGAAAGCCAGGGGAGCAAAUGGGAUUAGAUACCCCGGUAGUCC